This 512-nucleotide long non-coding RNA is filed under the name Bos taurus (domestic cattle). Its description in RNAcentral is "long non-coding RNA NONBTAT010972". The record is from RNAcentral. Lineage: Eukaryota; Metazoa; Chordata; Mammalia; Artiodactyla; Bovidae.
AAUUGGCUAGAUUUUUUAUUUUGCAUAUGAAAUUUUGUUAUUUAGCUUUGUUGGAUCAUAAAAGGUGUUCCCUGGGUUUAUAUAUACAGUUCCAGGAAAAUAGGAGUGAAAGAGUCCAAAUUCUGAGUCCCUAACAGAAGCCAUAGUUUUUUUUUUGUUGUUUUUUUUUUUGUUUUUUUGCUCCUUGUUCAGGUCCUCAUGGACCUUUAAUAGGCAGCCAGCUACGCCAGCAGCUCCAAUCUCUUAAGAUCACGUUCCAGCUUUAGGACUUCUGCCUGGGCUCCUUUGUGAAGGCACUUAAUGCCCAAAUCUUUACAGGCAUCUGCACAGCUUGCCCUCUUCUCAAAGUCCUACAGUCUCCAGGGUGCUUCAUACCAGGUGGGCACAGAUAUUGGUGGCUCUGGAACAGUUCUUGGGAAUCCAAGAUUUCCCUACUUAGCUAAUGUGCUUUUUUUAUCCAAAGCAAUCGGCACUCCCCAUGAUCAGAUUCCAGUACACUCUUUGAAGUGUCA